This is an RNA transcript of Daucus carota subsp. sativus, 4661 nucleotides long. It is a transcript of the gene named ubiquitin carboxyl-terminal hydrolase 7, with no coding region annotated. The transcript has 5 exons. NCBI's taxonomy places the organism in Eukaryota, Viridiplantae, Streptophyta, Magnoliopsida, Apiales, Apiaceae. The record is from RefSeq and is a predicted model, not a curated record.
CUGAAAUAAGCGCCUUGGACCCACUUUCAUCCUAACCUUCUCUAAUCUCUCUUUGACAAUCCACGAACACCAUCUUUGCAUUCUCAAUCUAUACGCACACGUUUCUAUGUAUCUCUCUUAUUCGAUAUAAAAUAAAAGCCCCGUCGUUCCAGAUCAUCACUUCGACGUCCCUUCUUCAGCUCAAGUAAUUUCAAUUUUGUCUUCAUGGCUGAGAUUUAUUGGUAAGUUAUUACGAGAGUCUUGCUAAAUUAGUUAUGAGGAGGUCGAGAUACCAUAAUGUUGCUAAUCAAGGUUUUGAUGAGUGGACAAUUACAAAGGCCCUCACUUUGUCUGAUGUUGAUGUCACUCAUCCAUUUCUCACUCUGCCUCGACAACCUGUUGAAAACUAUGUGCUUGUGCAUUUGACGCAACGAGAACAGGAUAUGUUAAUGAAUAAAGAGCAAGUAACCAUUAAUGCUAAAGAUGAGGAUACUGGUGAAGUUCAUUUGAUGAAGCUAAAAUGGCGUGGGAGUUACUAUAAUCUUAUCGGGAAAUGGGGAAGUAUUGUUCGAGCUAAGAAUCUUGAGGUUGGGAGAGAGAUUAAAAUACGCUGGUUUAAUGGAUGCCUACACUUUUCUGUUCCAGAACAGCAGGUUCAGGCAGUGACACCAUUGCAGGAUGUUGCACCACCGCUACUUCAUGACCACUGGCCUAUUACAAAGGUUUUGACAUUAUCCGGUGUCGAUACUAAUCAUCCAUUUCUCCCUUUGGCACGCAGAUCAGUUGAAGAUCAUAUUCUUGUUUAUUGGAGUCAUCAACAACGAGAGCUUCUAAGAAACGAGGAGCAAGUUAAUAUAAAUGCUCGGGAUGUUGAUACAGGGGAUACGUAUGUUAUGACCUUGAGGUGGCGUGGAAAUUAUUAUAACCUAUUCGGGAAAUGGGAAAAGAUAUUACAGCAUAAGGGACAAGGUGUCGGAAAAGAAAUAAAGAUACGUUGGGGUAACGGAUGCUUAAACUUUUUAGUUCCAUAUGAACGUAAUGUUGUGUUACUACAGGGACAGGACAUGUGGCCUAUUAAGAAAGCACUAACUUUGUCUGAUGUAGACACCAAUCAUCCAUUUCUCACUUUGCCUGGAAAAGCUGUUGAGGAUCAUAUUCUCUUUUACUGGACAGUGCAAGCACGGGAACAGUUGAGAAACACACGCCAAGUUGAUAUAAGUGUUCGAGAUGAUGACACUGGUGUUUUGUAUCAAAUGAAGUUGAAAUUUCGUGGGAGUUACUACAAUCUUAUUGGCAAAUGGGGACAAAUCAUUAGAGGGAAGAUGCUCCAUGUUGGGAGGGAGAUUAGAGUACGCUGGGACAAUGAAUGCUUAUGCUUUUCAGUUCCAUAGCAUAUCUGUAUUCAGGCUGUAUAGUGAGUGUAAGAUGGCAAAAAGAGCUACUUGCGGGUGUGGAAAUUGAUACUAGCCAGCCACCAUAUGUUGUCAAAGUCAGUUGUAUGACCUAACAGGAGUACCUCCCGAAAGACAGAAGAUUAUGGUGAAAGGUGGUUUAUUAAAGGAUGAUGCCGAUUGGUCAAAAUUAGGGGUAAAAGAGGGCCAGAAGUUAAUGAUGAUGGGAACGGCAGAUGAGAUUGUGAAGGCACCUGAGAAGGGCCCUGUUUUUAUGGAGGACCUUCCAGAAGAAGAACAAGUUGUUGCGGUAAUGCCCUUUCUUGAAGAUAUCUACAGUUUUACUCCUUUCUCAUCCCUGUGUUUAUCUUCAUUACUUUCAGAUUAACCUCCUAAAAAUUGGAUAGCCACGAACUUCAAAAUUGUCUUUGCAGCAUUCAAUUUGAAAUUUGAAACUUGCUAAAAUCAAAAGAUUGGCUGCAAUAAAGAGUGAUCUAAAUUUGAUUGGUAAUUAUAAGUUGGCAAUUGGUCCCUAACCAUCGAUUGAUGGCAACAAUCUACCAGAAUUUUUUCGCAGCCUGAAGGUAGAAACCUUAAUAUGAGUAACAAAACUGCUGGUAGCUACUGUAGCUCCCUGCAUUUACAUAAAAAAUUUAGACUUAAUACCUUUUGGCUGAAAAAACCCACUGGUAGAUGGUUUCGUCAAUCACUUUUCAAAGACAUGGACCAGUACCCUAAUAAGUUUCUGCGACUCAUGAAGACUGUAGUUGGGCCAAGUACUUGUUUGUACGUGUUCUAAUGAAAAAGAGUUUGUCUGUUCUUAUAUACUAUCUGAGUUGGUCUGAUUCACUUAGUUUGAGUGUUAUAAUUAAGUUCAAUGUGUUGGGUUAUGCCUUAAUUUUCUGCCAAUUUGAAUUUAUUAUAUAUAAAGCCAGUUCUCAACUUAAUAAGCAUUGGACUUGUAUUCUUUUUAGUAAACAAGACGUUUUCUUCCAGGGUCAUUCUGCUGGCCUGUUUAAUCUGAAACAAGACGUCUUGUUUACUAAAAAUCUAUCUGCAGUUUUCUUGAGUGUAAGCUGCAAAAUUUUACGGAAGAUGUGAAGGCAGUUUCUCUGAGGUCCAAAUGCAGUUGUAGCAAAAUCUUAAUAUUAGUCAAUAAAUAUUUGGCAUUGGAAGUGUAAUAGUUUAUAGUUGAUAUUAUUUGUUAGGCUAACUUCAGAUGAUAUAAUCUACUUUAAAUAUGUUCCUAAUGACAUGUGUUCAGGUCCUAACCAUGUUUUAAACACCCCAAAGGUGGCUCAUAAUCUUGUUUAAUGUAGUUUGGCAGAUCUUGAAAUACUAGUUGAUAAUUUCUGAUGCUACAUUCAUUAGAUUUUAGUGUAUUAAGUGUCAUCACAUGGUACUUGCCGAUUGUUACUAUACCUGAUCAGUGAUCAACAAUCAGGUGUCACGAGGUUAUGGUGCGUUUAAGUCUAAUAUAUAAAACUUGAUUAGUUGUGUGUGAAUUUAAGUUGCACUGUCGUACAGUUCUCUCUCAUUAUAGCGUAUAUGUACUGUAGUUGGGUUCUUAUAGUAAACAACAUAGUGUCUGUGUAUGUCUACUAACAAUUCAAUUACACUUCCCAACCCCUGUCGGCUAGGGAGAAGGCAGUGCUUGUCAGUUUGAAGUUCAUACUGGCUGUGGUUACUGCUGAGCAAGUCUAUGGCAUGAUCCUCUUUGCAAAUAGUUUAUCAGAAAAGCCUUAGGAUAGAUGCAGCAGUCAUCUGGUUUUUCUGAUUAAACAUUUGAAAGACUCUGGAUGAUGUUUACCUGUUUCUGAAGCUGUUAAAGGUAUUCAGGCUGCUUUCCAUAAACUUUGGAGUUUGCACUGGGCUCUUUUUUUAAUGAUGGAAAUUGCACUGGAGUUGGUGUGGACAUCUUUGGAAUCUAGGAUAGCCGAUAUCGACAGUGAUUCUUAUCCCAUGUUGGAUGAGCCUAUAGUCAUAAACUGGUAUUUCCAUCUGUAGGUUUACUCUCAUCUAUGGCUUUAGAUAACACUAAGGGGUCGUUUGGUUCGCAGAGUGGUAUGGGUUUGGAAUGAGGAAUCGGGUUAAGGUGGUAUGGGUUUAAAGUAUCAUAUCUGAUAUCAUGUGUUUGGUUGAUUGCUGGAAUCAAUAUAUUUAACUUUUUUUUUAAAAUUAUAUUAAUUAUUUAUAUUAAUUAAAAUAUUAAUAAAAUUAUUAUUGUUAUGUAUUUUUGCAUUGUUGAUUAUUUUUAUAUUAAAUAUUAAUAUUUAAUUGUUUAAAUAGAGACAAAAAAAUAAAAUAUAAAACUGAUACCCAUACCCCCAUUUCAUACCCACCUCAUCCCUUGGGUAUCAAAAAUCAUACCUUGUGGGUUUAAGGAAUGGGUUUGAAAAUUUGUUUUCUUACAACCAAACACCAGGUAUGGGUUUAGAAUGGACGAAACCCAUACCUGAUUCCAGAUACCCCUCAACCAAACGACCCCUAAAGCUAUUUGUAGUCAAUCUUUGUUGAUUUCAUUUUGUCAAGUGUAAGAGCUUAGUGACAGUGACCAGAAUAAUAAGAAUGAGGAUCUCAAGAUGUUGCUGGAGGCAUAUUCAAGCAGUUAGAUGCACUCAGCAACAAGAUACUGUUACUGUUGCUGAGGAUCUUGAGAUACUGCUGAAGGCAUAUAUCUGCAAGUUUUUCCCGACGCUCUCUGGAUCAAUGAUACUUUGAUGACCCAUAUCAUAUAUACUCGAGUAUAGUUUGGUUAGAAGAAUCAUAUAUACUCACUUAGUCACUUUAAUACAAACUAAAGCAUGCUUUCCCAUUCAUAUAUCAACCUUGGCGGAAUUUGGAUGACUUAGAAGCUAAUAACAGCCCUGUUUAAUGUCCUAGGUAUUGACGACUAACUCAUUUUCCAUAGCUAUCAAGACUCCACAUAGCUGGGAUGCUAGGAAUGGACGUGGAUUUUCAACUAUUCCAUACAGACGGGGGAUUUUGGCUCAUUGGUCGGUAUUGUGUCAUCUUGUCCUGUGUAAUGAUGUUAAUGCUUGUUCUUGGAUAGUUGGAUUUGCCAAAGGGAAGAAGCUAGUUGGGUCUUGAGCACCUUGUAAUAUCUAGUAUAGCCUUAUAACAUCAGCUAAAGUGCAUACAAAUAAAUUAGCUUCUAGCUCAUUUGAAGUUUCUUUGGUUGCUUUAGAAGUGCUAUAGUGAAUCAAAUUUCCAUUAACAUCCAUCAAAACUGGUCUUUGUAACAUUUUUUAGUAUUGUCAUCUUUAAGUUAUUGGUUAUCUUUCUUGUGUA